RNAcentral lists this ribosomal RNA (595 nucleotides) under uncultured Bifidobacterium sp. RNAcentral describes it as "bacterial SSU rRNA". It matches the Rfam family "Bacterial small subunit ribosomal RNA", at positions 338 to 950 of the family's 1533-position model. The record is from RNAcentral. Lineage: Bacteria; Bacillati; Actinomycetota; Actinomycetes; Bifidobacteriales; Bifidobacteriaceae.
UCUACGGGAGGCAGCAGUGGGGAAUAUUGCACAAUGGGCGCAAGCCUGAUGCAGCGACGCCGCGUGAGGGAUGACGGCCUUCGGGUUGUAAACCUCUUUUGUUAGGGAGCAAGCGAGAGUGAGUGUACCUUUCGAAUAAGCACCGGCUAACUACGUGCCAGCAGCCGCGGUAAUAUGCAAGCGUUAUCCGGAAUUAUUGGGCGUAAAGAGCUCGUAGGCGGCUUGUCGCGUCCGGUGUGAAAGUCCAUCGCUUAACGGUGGAUCUGCGCCGGGUACGGGCAGGCUAGAAUGCGGUAGGGGAGACUGGAAUUCCCGGUGUAACGGUGGAAUGUGUAGAUAUCGGGAAGAACACCAAUGGCGAAGGCAGGUCUCUGGGCCGUUAUUGACGCUGAGGAGCGAAAGCGUGGGGAGCGAACAGGAUUAGAUACCCUGGUAGUCCACGCCGUAAACGGUGGACGCUGGAUGUGGGGCCCGUUCCACGGGUUCCGUGUCGGAGCUAACGCGUUAAGCGUCCCGCCUGGGGAGUACGGCCGCAAGGCUAAAACUCAAAGAAAUUGACGGGGGCCCGCACAAGCGGCGGAGCAUGCGGAUUAAU